This 45-nucleotide non-coding RNA is filed under the name Echinostoma caproni. The record is from RNAcentral. Lineage: Eukaryota; Metazoa; Platyhelminthes; Trematoda; Plagiorchiida; Echinostomatidae.
GUACUUCUAACGAGUCCCAAACAGGACGAAACAGCUGUCCGGUAU